RNAcentral lists this unclassified non-coding RNA (216 nucleotides) under Hevea brasiliensis (rubber tree). The record is from RNAcentral. Lineage: Eukaryota; Viridiplantae; Streptophyta; Magnoliopsida; Malpighiales; Euphorbiaceae.
GCACAUCCUGUUGCUCUUAACUAAUUCUGGAGUGGUGUCGUUUCUGCUUGUCUGUAUCUUGUAAAAGUUUCUUGACUAUUUGUGAUGCUCAUUGAAAAACUUGUUUUAUACUCCCUGGUUCAUUGGUGUAUUUACUCGUUAAGAAAUGUACAUGCAUGCUUCCUUUUCAACCUGUGAAACGGAAAAUUGGAGUGACUUCCUAUGUAAUGAAAUGGU